GUGCCAGCAGCCGCGGUAAUACGUAGGGGGCAAGCGUUGUCCGGAAUUAUUGGGCGUAAAGCGCGCGCAGGCGGUCUUUUAAGUCUGAUGUGAAAGCCCACGGCUUAACCGUGGAGGGUCAUUGGAAACUGGAGGACUUGAGUGCAGAAGAGGAGAGUGGAAUUCCACGUGUAGCGGUGAAAUGCGUAGAGAUGUGGAGGAACACCAGUGGCGAAGGCGACUCUCUGGUCUGUAACUGACGCUGAGGUGCGAAAGCGUGGGUAGCGAACAGGAUUAGAUACCCUGGUAGUCC
Molecule: ribosomal RNA, 292 nt
Filed under: uncultured microorganism
Description: partial 16S ribosomal RNA
Rfam family: Bacterial small subunit ribosomal RNA
Source: RNAcentral